This 496-nucleotide ribosomal RNA is filed under the name uncultured bacterium. RNAcentral describes it as "partial 16S ribosomal RNA". It matches the Rfam family "Bacterial small subunit ribosomal RNA", at positions 28 to 507 of the family's 1533-position model. The record is from RNAcentral.
GACGAACGCUGGCGGCGUGCCUAAUACAUGCAAGUUGAGCGCUGAAGGUUGGUACUUGUACCAACUGGAUGAGCAGCGAACGGGUGAGUAACGCGUGGGGAAUCUGCCUUUGAGCGGGGGACAACAUUUGGAAACGAAUGCUAAUACCGCAUAAAAACUUUAAACACAAGUUUUAAGUUUGAAAGAUGCAAUUGCAUCACUCAAAGAUGAUCCCGCGUUGUAUUAGCUAGUUGGUGAGGUAAAGGCUCACCAAGGCGAUGAUACAUAGCCGACCUGAGAGGUGGUCGGGCACAAUUGGAACUGGACACGGCCCAAACCCCUUAGGGAGGGAGGAGUAGGGAAUCUUCGGCAAUGGACGAAAGUCUGACCGGGGAACGCCGAGGGGAGGAAGAAGGGUUUUGGAUCGUAAAACUCUGUUGGUAGAGGAGAACGGUGGGGGGGGUGGAAAGCUCAACAAGGGGCGGUAACUAACCAGAAAGGGAAGGCUAACUACGGG